Molecule: long non-coding RNA, 1036 nt
Organism: Cynoglossus semilaevis (tongue sole)
Lineage: Eukaryota; Metazoa; Chordata; Actinopteri; Pleuronectiformes; Cynoglossidae
Exons: 3
Source: RefSeq, a predicted model, not a curated record
ACUGGGUCACGUGACAUGUGCCGGUUUCUGUCAGCAGGGUAGGCAGGCAGUACUCCGCCUCACCUCAAGCGGUCUUACGUGAACUGACAGGCGGUUUUUAUGCUCUGUCUGAACCGACUGACUAUGGAUUGUGUUUCCAGACGGAAACAUUUCUCAAAACUGGACUUCCGGUCCAAACGGAAGGAGAUACGUGACGGAAGACCAACGUCGGAGCUAAAAAGUUAGCUUCAAACUACGGGACAGAAGAGUCGUUCUUUUUUAAACGGAGUGGUCCAAACUAAAAAGACUGUCUGUGUGUCUGUCCUGUCAGAAACCACCAUUACUUUCUUUCCUUGACUUACAUUGUCAUCGUGUGAUAACGUCGGGACUAACUCGGGAUACUGUGACCUGAAACAUUAGCAAAGAAGCCUCAGCAGACGAGAGCAACGGAGACUAAACGUUAGCAACCACAAUGCUAUGAUGAGGGACACAACCAUGGACUUCAUCUAUAAGUAAAGGAUUAGCCCCUCCCCCCGGGUAAAGGAACAACACCGUUACAUUAAACUGGUGGAGAAGCAUAGAAGUCACACAGUAUUUGGCAGUGAGAGAACAGUCCUAACGUAUCCAUGCACAACAUCAACCACAGGCGAGGUCCACACUCUGAACAAACCCACUGAGAACAACACGGUAGGCAGUCCAGCAGGCAGCCCAGGACGGACUCUUUAAUUACCUGGGAGGAGAAGAGGUCACACCAUGACAGCUCCAACUAAUGACUGUAAUCUGAGCGCAGCAUCGUUUACAUUGUUAAACUCAAUAUUGUCGUACUCCAGUGGUUCCCUUUUCUUUAUGAGAUAGUAGAAAAUAACAACAAUCUCAGUGAUUAUCCUUAAUCUAAGUGGUCCGUUUAUUCAAUUCCCUUUUCUAUUAACAUCAUUAUGACCACAACUUCACACAAAUCAAUACGCAGUGCUCCAGGGAGACUAGUUCUCUGGUUACAGAAAAAUGGAAUUCACUGCUCUUUCUGAGACGUUAGCUGUAAACUCCUCGUACCUGGAAC